This 553-nucleotide ribosomal RNA is filed under the name Salmonella enterica. RNAcentral describes it as "partial 23S ribosomal RNA". It matches the Rfam family "Bacterial large subunit ribosomal RNA", at positions 1216 to 1772 of the family's 2925-position model. The record is from RNAcentral. Lineage: Bacteria; Pseudomonadati; Pseudomonadota; Gammaproteobacteria; Enterobacterales; Enterobacteriaceae.
AGGUGUUGUUGGGUAGGGGAGCGUUCUGUAAGCCUGCGAAGGUGGCCUGUGAGGGUUGCUGGAGGUAUCAGAAGUGCGAAUGCUGACAUAAGUAACGAUAAAGCGGGUGAAAAGCCCGCUCGCCGGAAGACCAAGGGUUCCUGUCCAACGUUAAUCGGGGCAGGGUGAGUCGACCCCUAAGGCGAGGCCGAAAGGCGUAGUCGAUGGGAAACGGGUUAAUAUUCCCGUACUUGGUGUUACUGCGAAGGGGGGACGGAGAAGGCUAUGUUGGCCGGGCGACGGUUGUCCCGGUUUAAGCGUGUAGGUGUGUGUUCCAGGUAAAUCCGGUUCACUUUAACACUGAGGCGUGAUGACGAGGCACUACGGUGCUGAAGCAACAAAUGCCCUGCUUCCAGGAAAAGCCUCUAAGCAUCAGGUAACAUCAAAUCGUACCCCAAACCGACACAGGUGGUCAGGUAGAGAAUACCAAGGCGCUUGAGAGAACUCGGGUGAAGGAACUAGGCAAAAUGGUGCCGUAACUUCGGGAGAAGGCACGCUGACACGUAGGUGAAGU